AAAUGUUUUAAUAUUAAAUAAGGACUAAAAUUAAUGAGCAUGAACAUUCAAAUCAUGAUCAUCUUCAAAAAACAUUCAAACCAUCUUCUGCAAAUUUUUAAUAAACCGAAAAUGAAAAUUUAUGAAAAUUUAAACAAAGAAGAUGAAAAAAAAACAUUCAAACCAUCAUAUUUGUUAUAAAAAAAAUCCCAUAACAUAUCUUGUUCAUUUCUAAUCUAAACAAGAACAAGAUUCAAAAAUAUAAAAGUAAAUUAAUAAUAAGGUGUUUUCAAAUCAAUCUAAAAUUUGGGAUCCGAUAAAAUGAUGUCUAAACCCAGAUUUACUAAAGGAAAAACAUUCAAAUCAUCUUCAACAACAAAAAAGUUUCAAGACAGUUCUUUUUUUAACCAGAAAAAGCUUGAAUCGCAUAGUAUCGAACAUGUCCAAUUGGUAGCUCCAAUUUGUAUAAACGGAACACGAAAGCAUAGAUGAAUCUCCUCUUUGAUCUUGAUUUGAAAAAAAAAUGCAGCAAAAUCCUAAUUUUCCAAAAACCCUAGAUUUGAUGAUAAAGAUUUGGUGUAUAGAUGAAAUCUGAAGAUAGAGGUGAAGAUUCGAUCUAUCAUCAUCAAUCCACCAUCUUCCUCUUUAGAAUCCUAGAAAACAGAAACACAUAAACCAUCUUCGAUCUACCACUGGAGAUGAAGAUUAAAAAAAACCCAAAUACAAAAUCGAAGUGAAGGUGGAGAUGAACGUUGGAUUUACAACAGGUGACUGUUGUUUGGAGAUGGUGGCUUGCUUAUGGAUAUCAACGACAUUCUAUGGUGGUUCCAAUCACCAGUCGAGCUCGAGUAUUCCCUUUUCCCCAGAUUCCUAACAAAAUUAAACAAAAUAGAAAGUUAAACUAAAAAUUUUGUUUUGAAAUUUAGGAUUGUAUAUUUGUGUAUAAAAGAUUUGCUUCUUUACCUUUCAUCGAGAACAAUCUCAAAUCCAAUUUUUGUUUAUGGAUGCAAGUCAAUAGAGAAGAAGGUCAAAG
RNAcentral lists this long non-coding RNA (1012 nucleotides) under Lactuca sativa (garden lettuce). Its description in RNAcentral is "long non-coding RNA (LSAT_LNC002309)". The record is from RNAcentral. Lineage: Eukaryota; Viridiplantae; Streptophyta; Magnoliopsida; Asterales; Asteraceae.